GUUAAAUUAAAGUCAGAUAUAUUAAUAUAAAAUAUUAUAAUUUGGUAACUAUAAUUAGAGAGAUAAAUUAAAAAGAAAAAAAGAAAAAUAGUUAGAUAAGAUUUUAUGUGUAUUUCUUAUAGUAAAAAUAAAAUAAAAUCAUAAGUUUUGAAACUAUAGGUUUAAUGACUCUUUAAAAAAAGAAUGGACCGAAUCCAUUAAUUAUUCACUAUUGAAUUGUAAGAUUCAAUCACUAUUUAGAAGGCGAGAAAUGCUGUAAUAUUUAAUUCAAUCCUGCUAGACCCCAUUGCUACUAUAAAAAAGACCCAGAAUGCUGAUGAUGAGCUGCAAAAAGUAGGCUGUUCCGCAACAUCAUUCUUUGCCAAACGUUGACAGUCCGGCUGUGCAUCGCCAAGUUGAUUGACUACCUUCUAUUUCGGGUACUUUUAAAGUGAAUGUCGAUGCCUCUUUUGAUUGGGACUUUUCUACUGUUGGGUAUGGGGUGAUUGUUCGAAACUCUUCUCGUUCUGUGAUUGAUGGUAGUGCUGCAUCUUUUUCUUGUAUCUCCCCACUUGCGGCAGAAGGAUUGCUCUCAGAUCAGCUGUUCACUUUGCAAGCAGCAGUGGCUUCUCUCAUGUGAUUUUUGAAUUUUAUUGUCUUCAAUUAACCAAGGUUCUGGUCUCCAUCUGGCUCCUAUCGAGUUAGAGGCUGUCGUUCAUUUGUUAGCUUCCUGUCCUUCUUGGCCUGUCAAUUUUAUUCCUAGAACUGCUAAUAUUUGUGCCAAUUGGGUUGCUGUCAAUGUAAGGUUGGGUUCUCUUUUGUCGGGCUAGGUUUCCAACCCCACUCUUCAGUUAGCUGUUCCCAUCGAUAAGGUUAGGUUGUAAU
This 864-nucleotide unclassified non-coding RNA is filed under the name Hevea brasiliensis (rubber tree). Lineage: Eukaryota; Viridiplantae; Streptophyta; Magnoliopsida; Malpighiales; Euphorbiaceae. The record is from RNAcentral.